Amphimedon queenslandica is the source of this 743-nucleotide long non-coding RNA. RefSeq lists it as uncharacterized. The record is from RefSeq and is a predicted model, not a curated record. NCBI's taxonomy places the organism in Eukaryota, Metazoa, Porifera, Demospongiae, Haplosclerida, Niphatidae. The transcript has 5 exons.
AUACAGUAAUCUACAUGUAUGUUUUUCUUUUACUAGUCCAGCUGUGGUCUGUUAGUAAUUAUCACUGGUAUCUUAAACAAGAGAUACAGUCGUCAAAAACCACACCUACUGAUGAGACUACGCCCACUCAUUAUACAGGUGUUGUAUGGGAUCCAAUUGUACCAUUACAUCUUCACACCUUGCUGAACAAUGGUCAGUAUAUACAGUAUAAUUGGAAGAGGGGUGUGGUCACCAGUACCUCGUUAAAUGUUAAUAAUAAUUCAACAGUGGCAGUAAUUGAUGGAGAGGUGUUAUUAUUGACACCUUUUCGUGAUGUUAUCAUUCCUCCUCCAAUGAGUCAUAAGCGACUUAUGUUCCCAUCUCCUGUUGUCAUGGCAACUUUUUGCCCCACCCCCUACCCCCAACGACCUUUUUAUAGUACUGUCUGAUGGAUCAGUCUACGUUGCAAAGUCCAGCACUAAGAUGGAAUACACCUUAACUAACCUCAGGUUUCCAUGUAUGGAAGGUGACGGUUUUUCUAUUCAUAAGUUGCGUCAGAUUGUGUGGGGGGCUGAUGGUUUAUUAGUAGGUAUAGUCAACAAAUCAUGUGAUGAAGACUCUAUUGUUGAAUACGAAAUUAAUGAAUCCUGUAUCACUGAAAGGAUGUCUACUUCUUGUGAUGGGCGUGUCUUGUGUCUCCAUGGCAACCCAGAUACGGGAACCAUCAUUUUUGAAGAUGUCAAGGGAAAAGUUUUCACUUACAA